This 254-nucleotide ribosomal RNA is filed under the name uncultured prokaryote. RNAcentral's name for it is "partial 16S ribosomal RNA". It matches the Rfam family "Bacterial small subunit ribosomal RNA", at positions 522 to 775 of the family's 1533-position model. The record is from RNAcentral.
AAUACAGAGGUGGCAAGCGUUGUUCGGAAUUACUGGGCGUAAAGGGCGCGUAGGCGGCCGCCUAAGUCAGACGUGAAAUCCCCAAGCUUAACUUGGGAACUGCGUCUGAUAUUGGGUGGCUGGAGUUCGGGAGAGGAAUGUGGAAUUCCAGGUGUAGCGGUGAAAUGCGUAGAUAUCUGGAGGAACACCGGUGGCGAAGGCGGCAUUCUGGACCGAAACUGACGCUGAGGCGCGAAAGCCAGGGGAGCAAACGG